RNAcentral lists this small RNA (28 nucleotides) under Bombyx mori (domestic silkworm). RNAcentral describes it as "ovarian small RNA-25622". Lineage: Eukaryota; Metazoa; Arthropoda; Insecta; Lepidoptera; Bombycidae. The record is from RNAcentral.
UCAGAGUCUGUCCGAUAAUGGCCACCAA